GCCUGGCUGGCUCAGUUGGUGGAGCAUGUGACCCCUGAUCUCAGUGUUGUGAGUUCGAGCCCCAUAUUGGGCA
RNAcentral lists this transfer RNA (73 nucleotides) under Ursus americanus (American black bear). It matches the Rfam family "tRNA". Rfam says of the family: Transfer RNA (tRNA) molecules are approximately 80 nucleotides in length. Their secondary structure includes four short double-helical elements and three loops (D, anti-codon, and T loops). Further hydrogen bonds mediate the characteristic L-shaped molecular structure. tRNAs have two regions of fundamental functional importance: the anti-codon, which is responsible for specific mRNA codon recognition, and the 3' end, to which the tRNAs corresponding amino acid is attached (by aminoacyl-tRNA synthetases). tRNAs cope with the degeneracy of the genetic code in two manners: having more than one tRNA (with a specific anti-codon) for a particular amino acid; and 'wobble' base-pairing, i.e. permitting non-standard base-pairing at the 3rd anti-codon position. Lineage: Eukaryota; Metazoa; Chordata; Mammalia; Carnivora; Ursidae. The record is from Rfam by way of RNAcentral. RNAcentral also lists the same sequence under 2 other names.